This 245-nucleotide ribosomal RNA is filed under the name uncultured Streptomyces sp. RNAcentral's name for it is "partial 16S ribosomal RNA". It matches the Rfam family "Bacterial small subunit ribosomal RNA", at positions 524 to 768 of the family's 1533-position model. Lineage: Bacteria; Bacillati; Actinomycetota; Actinomycetes; Kitasatosporales; Streptomycetaceae. The record is from RNAcentral.
UACGUAGGGGGCAAGCGUUGUCCGGAAUUAUUGGGCGUAAAGAGCUCGUAGGCGGCUUGUCACGUCGGGUGUGAAAGCCCGGGGCUUAACCCCGGGUCUGCAUUCGAUACGGGCUAGCUAGAGUGUGGUAGGGGAGAUCGGAAUUCCUGGUGUAGCGGUGAAAUGCGCAGAUAUCAGGAGGAACACCGGUGGCGAAGGCGGAUCUCUGGGCCAUUACUGACGCUGAGGAGCGAAGGCCAGGGGAG